AAUUAACGUUUUUUUUUUUUUUUUUUUUAAAUAUAUUGUUUAGUGCUUGUACAAAGCAAACCGUUGCAUUUGAGAUCAUUACAAAAUCACGUCUCGAAUGUUUUUUUUUUUCUUUUUGUCAAUCUUUCUUAUUUUAUUUAUUUAUUUUUUACAUUUGGGAAAUGACGUGAGCUGCAGAGCUCUGUGCCUGGAACUCUUUUGUAUAUGAAUAAUCAGUGACCUUUCGAUAGAUUGUUAAUUAUCGAUCAUAAUAAGAAGCAGAAAAGGACCCGCCGUAAGGACCCGACGAUCAGGACGGAGAUGGAUGUCGUUCUUGGAUCUAACUUGAAGGCCGACUGUGUUCGCUCGCCCGUUAUUCCACUUCAUCUUUCCUCUCGUCGUUUUCCGCGUCACCUUUUCCUCUGGCGUUCCUCGUAUCCUCCUCCACUCUGUGAUGCCCGAACAUCUGUCUCCUCGCCUAUCCUUAUCGCCUUGCCGCAUAGUCAAUAAUGAUUGUUUUUCUUCUUUCUGUGUUCUGUCUCAGGCUUCAGAUCACAUAGUGCGUGCGCUCUGUCAUUCUGCUGAAAGCUCAGCCUCAAAAUUACGCCCGAGAAUUUCUACCUACUGCUGUUUAUGGAGCUCACAGCACUCUUUCUCUGUCUGGGGAAAGGAAGUGUGUUGAGACAGACACAUCAUGCUCUAAAACCUUUUGCUGUAAAUUAUAGAAAAGUUGCUCUAGCAAUCCCUUCUUAAGAAUCGCUGUAGAGGACAGCAAGUUCCAGCAAUCACACUGAAGUGAGCGAUUCUGAAGCAGUUUCUGCUAUCGCUGUAUGAACAUAUCUCAUCAUAUGUCAUCGUAAGGUCAGAGAGUGUAGAGGCGGCUGGAAUCUGCAUGACGUGACGGCAUAGUGUUGGGACACGUUAGUGGUUAGCACGUUCGCCUCACACCUCCAGGGUCGGGGGUUGGAUUCCCACCGUGGCCCUGUGUGUGCGGAGUUUAUAUGUUCUCCCCGUGCUGCGGGGGUUUCCUCCCCCGGUCCAAAGACAUGCAUGGUAGGCUGAUUGGCGUGUCCAAAGUGUCCGUAGUGUAUGAAUGGGUGUGUGAAUGUGUAUGUGAUUGUGCCCUGCGAUGGAUUGGCACCCUGUCCAGGGUGUACCCCGCCUCGUGCCCGAUGCUCCCUGGGAUAGGCUCCAGGUUCCCCGUGACCUUGAAAAGGAUAAGCGGUAUAGACGAUGGAUGGUUCACCUAUGAUUUCUAAUGCAUUGUGCCGCAUUGUGCGUAAUGCACCUAAUGAUUUCAUGCAUUGCGCUGUUGCUAAAAGAUAACUACAUGUAUAUGAAUACAAAUAGGGGUAUUCCUAAUAAAAUGACCUGACUGGGGGUAAAGAAUAAAAUGUUGUUUGUUUGUUUUUUU
This is a long non-coding RNA of Ictalurus punctatus (channel catfish), 1393 nucleotides long. Lineage: Eukaryota; Metazoa; Chordata; Actinopteri; Siluriformes; Ictaluridae. The record is from Ensembl.